This 486-nucleotide ribosomal RNA is filed under the name Salmonella enterica. RNAcentral's name for it is "bacterial SSU rRNA". It matches the Rfam family "Bacterial small subunit ribosomal RNA", at positions 110 to 592 of the family's 1533-position model. The record is from RNAcentral. Lineage: Bacteria; Pseudomonadati; Pseudomonadota; Gammaproteobacteria; Enterobacterales; Enterobacteriaceae.
GUAAUGUCUGGGAAACUGCCUGAUGGAGGGGGAUAACUACUGGAAACGGUGGCUAAUACCGCAUAACGUCGCAAGACCAAAGAGGGGGACCUUCGGGCCUCUUGCCAUCAGAUGUGCCCAGAUGGGAUUAGCUAGUUGGUGAGGUAACGGCUCACCAAGGCGACGAUCCCUAGCUGGUCUGAGAGGAUGACCAGCCACACUGGAACUGAGACACGGUCCAGACUCCUACGGGAGGCAGCAGUGGGGAAUAUUGCACAAUGGGCGCAAGCCUGAUGCAGCCAUGCCGCGUGUAUGAAGAAGGCCUUCGGGUUGUAAAGUACUUUCAGCGGGGAGGAAGGUGUUGUGGUUAAUAACCGCAGCAAUUGACGUUACCCGCAGAAGAAGCACCGGCUAACUCCGUGCCAGCAGCCGCGGUAAUACGGAGGGUGCAAGCGUUAAUCGGAAUUACUGGGCGUAAAGCGCACGCAGGCGGUCUGUCAAGUCGGA